CUUGAACUUCAAAAAUAGACUUCUCUGGGUCUUCAGCUGCCAGACCACCCUGCACUCCAGCCUUGCCAACCUCUUUAACUGUGUGACUAUUUUUUCCAGAAAGUCCAGACUAAUCCAGCGAGGGAGCCAGGGCAGUCAAGAGAAGUGUUAUGAUGUGGAAAGGGAGGGAGGAACGGAGCACCCUCAGUACACAGGAUCUUCUCACCCAGUGCCACCGUUAGGAGAGGAACUUGGCAUCUUAUUUGGGCGCCGUGCUGUGGGCUGACCUCCUGGAAGAUCCCGUAGAUGACUUGUGCAAACAGCCUUCCAAAAUCAAUAGAUUGCAAAAAAUC
This 332-nucleotide long non-coding RNA is filed under the name Rattus norvegicus (Norway rat). Its description in RNAcentral is "long non-coding RNA NONRATT003254". Lineage: Eukaryota; Metazoa; Chordata; Mammalia; Rodentia; Muridae. The record is from RNAcentral.